UAGCGCCCUCCCGAAGGUUAAGCUACCUACUUCUUUUGCAACCCACUCCCAUGGUGUGACGGGCGGUGUGUACAAGGCCCGGGAACGUAUUCACCGUAGCAUUCUGAUCUACGAUUACUAGCGAUUCCGACUUCAUGGAGUCGAGUUGCAGACUCCAAUCCGGACUACGACAUACUUUAUGAGGUCCGCUUGCUCUCGCGAGGUCGCUUCUCUUUGUAUAUGCCAUUGUAGCACGUGUGUAGCCCUACUCGUAAGGGCCAUGAUGACUUGACGUCAUCCCCACCUUCCUCCAGUUUAUCACAGGCAGUCUCCUUUGAUUUCCCGGCCGAACCGAUGGCAACAAAGGAUAAGGGUUGCGCUC
This 361-nucleotide ribosomal RNA is filed under the name Serratia marcescens. RNAcentral describes it as "partial 16S ribosomal RNA". Lineage: Bacteria; Pseudomonadati; Pseudomonadota; Gammaproteobacteria; Enterobacterales; Yersiniaceae. The record is from RNAcentral.